UUCCGUUGGGGUAACCUGCGGAGGGAUCAUUACCGAGUUUACAACUCCCAAACCCCUGUGAACAUACCUAUACGUUGCCUCGGCGGAUCAGCCCGCGCCCCGUAAAAAGGGACGGCCCGCCCGAGGACCCCUAAACUCUGUUUUUAGUGGAACUUCUGAGUAAAACAAACAAAUAAAUCAAAACUUUCAACAACGGAUCUCUUGGUUCUGGCAUCGAUGAAGAACGCAGCAAAAUGCGAUAAGUAAUGUGAAUUGCAGAAUUCAGUGAAUCAUCGAAUCUUUGAACGCACAUUGCGCCCGCCAGUAUUCUGGCGGGCAUGCCUGUUCGAGCGUCAUUUCAACCCUCAAGCUCAGCUUGGUGUUGGGACUCGCGGUAACCCGCGUUCCCCAAAUCGAUUGGCGGUCACGUCGAGCUUCCAUAGCGUAGUAAUCAUACACCUCGUUACUGGUAAUCGUCGCGGCCACGCCGUAAAACCCCAACUUCUGAAUGUGACCUCGGAUCAGGUAGAAUUCCCAGUUUCC
RNAcentral lists this ribosomal RNA (522 nucleotides) under fungal sp. RNAcentral's name for it is "eukaryotic LSU rRNA". The stretch from base 182 to 335 matches the Rfam family "5.8S ribosomal RNA". The record is from RNAcentral. Lineage: Eukaryota; Fungi.